CCUACGGGAGGCAGCAGUGGGGAAUAUUGCACAAUGGGGGAAACCCUGAUGCAGCGACGCCGCGUGAAGGAAGAAGUAUUUCGGUAUGUAAACUUCUAUCAGCAGGGAAGUAAAUGAAGGUACCUGACUAAGAAGCCCCGGCUAAAUACGUGCCAGCAGCCGCGGUAAUACGUCGGGGGCGAGCGUUAUACGGAUUCACUGGGUGUUAAGGGAGCGUAGACGGCCAUGCGAGCCCGUGGUGAAAGCCCGGGGCCCAACCCCGGAAUUGCCCUUGGAACUGCAUGGCUGGAGUGCGGGUGGGGCAGGCGGAAUUCGUGGUGUAGCGGUGAAAUGCGUAGAUAUCAGGAGGAACGCCGACGGCGAAGGCGGCCUGCUGGACCGCGACUGACGUUGAGGCUCGAAAGCGUGGGGAGCGAACAGGAUUAGAUACCCGUGUAGUC
RNAcentral lists this ribosomal RNA (440 nucleotides) under uncultured bacterium. RNAcentral's name for it is "partial 16S ribosomal RNA". It matches the Rfam family "Bacterial small subunit ribosomal RNA", at positions 338 to 795 of the family's 1533-position model. The record is from RNAcentral.